UGCGAACUCCUACGGGAGGCAGCAGUGGGGAAUAUUGCACAAUGGGCGCAAGCCUGAUGCAGCGACGCCGCGUGAGGGAUGGAGGCCUUCGGGUUGUGAACCUCUUUCGCUCAUGGUCAAGCCGCAACUCAUGGUUGUGGUGAGGGUAGUGGGUAAAGAAGCGCCGGCUAACUACGUGCCAGCAGCCGCGGUAAUACGUAGGGCGCGAGCGUUGUCCGGAAUUAUUGGGCGUAAAGGGCUUGUAGGCGGUUGGUCGCGUCUGCCGUGAAAUCCUCUGGCUUAACUGGGGGCGUGCGGUGGGUACGGGCUGGCUUGAGUGCGGUAGGGGAGACUGGAACUCCUGGUGUAGCGGUGGAAUGCGCAGAUAUCAGGAAGAACACCGGUGGCGAAGGCGGGUCUCUGGGCCGUUACUGACGCUGAGGAGCGAAAGCGUGGGGAGCGAACAGGAUUAGAAACCCCGGUAGUCCAGAAGUG
RNAcentral lists this ribosomal RNA (474 nucleotides) under uncultured bacterium. RNAcentral's name for it is "bacterial SSU rRNA". It matches the Rfam family "Bacterial small subunit ribosomal RNA", at positions 330 to 804 of the family's 1533-position model. The record is from RNAcentral.